This 113-nucleotide non-coding RNA is filed under the name uncultured Paenibacillus sp. Its description in RNAcentral is "Glycine riboswitch". It matches the Rfam family "Glycine riboswitch aptamer", at positions 9 to 86 of the family's 94-position model. Rfam says of the family: This family represents the bacterial glycine riboswitch. Glycine riboswitches usually consist of two metabolite-binding aptamers domains with similar structures in tandem. Lineage: Bacteria; Bacillati; Bacillota; Bacilli; Caryophanales; Paenibacillaceae. The record is from RNAcentral.
CAGGACUCUGGAGAGACUCCGUUAAACGGAGCACCGAAGGGGCAAUACGCGCGCAGGCAAGGUAAUCCAAUGAACCGCCGCGUUUAAAACUCUCAGGUAAAAGGACAGGGAUU